GACGAACGCUGGCGGCGUGCCUAAUACAUGCAAGUAGAACGCUGAAGGAGGAGCUUGCUUCUCUGGAUGAGUUGCGAACGGGUGAGUAACGCGUAGGUAACCUGCCUGGUAGCGGGGGAUAACUAUUGGAAACGAUAGCUAAUACCGCAUAAGAGUAGAUGUUGCAUGACAUUUGCUUAAAAGGUGCAAUUGCAUCACUACCAGAUGGACCUGCGUUGUAUUAGCUAGUUGGUGAGGUAACGGCUCACCAAGGCAACGAUACAUAGCCGACCUGAGAGGGUGCUCGGCCACACUGGGACUGAGACACGGCCCAGACUCCUACGGGAGGCAGCAGUAGGGAAUCUUCGGCAAUGGACGGAAGUCUGACCGAGCAACGCCGCGUGAGUGAAGAAGGUUUUCGGAUCGUAAAGCUCUGUUGUAAGAGAAGAACGAGUGUGAGAGUGGAAAGUUCACACUGUGACGGUAUCUUACCAGAAAGGGACGGCUAACUACGUG
Molecule: ribosomal RNA, 495 nt
Filed under: uncultured bacterium
Lineage: Bacteria
Description: partial 16S ribosomal RNA
Rfam family: Bacterial small subunit ribosomal RNA
Source: RNAcentral